Molecule: long non-coding RNA, 1373 nt
Organism: Papaver somniferum (opium poppy)
Lineage: Eukaryota; Viridiplantae; Streptophyta; Magnoliopsida; Ranunculales; Papaveraceae
Exons: 7
Source: RefSeq, a predicted model, not a curated record
CGUAACUAGUAAACCUGCAGAAGACCACGAUCUCCACCUGAUGAUAACUCCCCAGUUCCUCCAGUUCUUCCCACCUCCCUCAACUAUCCUCUUUCUACGAUUAUGGAUGCUAUAAACACAAUCGAUACCUUGAAACCGUAUACACAGAGAAGAUUAUACUUCAGAUAAGAUGGGAUUUGUAAAAGUCAGAUUUGGAAGAAGGAAAUCAUCAAUUUCAUUAUCCUCUGCAGGACAUCAUCGAUUUUAUCUGCACAAGCUGGAAUAUAGAUGACAACCCACAACCUCCGGCAGCAAAAAAGUAAGAGGAGGGGAUAAGUUGAACUUUCGUACAAGGAUGAAAAAGGGCGAGAAAGUACCACUGGAAUUUUGGCAAGGUGCACCAGUUGGACCGAACGCAAAUAAGAUCUCGGCUUAUUGUGGAAAGCUGGCACUAAAUGGAGAAAAUUUCCCUUUUGACAUUCAUGACUGGUCUGAAAUGCCCCAUAAGGAAGCUUGAAGAAGCCAUUGAAGAGAUAAAGAUCAACUUUCGGGUGGAGGAGAAAAUCCAUGAAAAAUGGAAGGCAAACAAACGUAACAUGAGGUUGGAACAUUUCGAUGAGAAUAAGACUGAUGCACAAAACAGAGCUAGUUAUCCAAACGAAGUUAUUGACACUCAGUAGGCAAAUAUGUUGAUAUAUUGGUGUUCACCUGAAUUCAAGAAAAAAAGCAAGAAUGGCAAAGCAAGUAGAAAGCAUUUGGUUGUGCCUCAUCAUGGUGUUACUAAGUCAUUCGUGAACCACGCGAGAUAGAAGAGACAACGCAAAAGAAAACAAGUCUAGCGGCUGUGUAUCGGAAAACCUAUAGAGCCAGAUAAGGGAAAACUUCCAACCCUAAAGCUGAAGCAAAUCUCGUGGCUUUUUAAUACGUUAAUUUGUAUGCUGUUAGAAUUAGUAAAAUUGUUGCAACUUGUUCUCACUUUAACUUUGCAUAUUAUAAUUGCAGGCUCAAAUGGAAGCCUUGGAGAGGGAAGAUUUAGAAGAGAAUGGUUCAGAUAAUGAUGUUUCAAUCUUGGAACUCACUUCUUAUGGCCAGCUGAAAGGAGACAAGUAUUCAAAAUCAUGGGAGCUGAGAAACCUGGUCGGAUUCGUGGUGUUGGUUCGCAAUUAAAGUAACCAAGCUUAGGGGGAAUCUUCUUCAAAUGUUGUCCAAAACAACGAGGAUCAGGUUCAUAUGCAGAAUGAAUCUGAGGUUAAUUUCAUCGAAAGAUAUUAUAUUCAAGGUGUUGGAAGAUAUAUCAUAAUUAACUUUGGAAGUAAGAAAUCCAUCUGUGAUAAUUUAAGUAUUUUGUGUUCAUUCACUUAAAUUUCUCUUGAAACUUUUAUCAGACUCAAAAA